Molecule: transfer RNA, 86 nt
Filed under: Thermoplasmata archaeon
Lineage: Archaea; Methanobacteriati; Thermoplasmatota; Thermoplasmata
Also listed under: 4 other names
Description: tRNA-Ser
Rfam family: tRNA
About the family: Transfer RNA (tRNA) molecules are approximately 80 nucleotides in length. Their secondary structure includes four short double-helical elements and three loops (D, anti-codon, and T loops). Further hydrogen bonds mediate the characteristic L-shaped molecular structure. tRNAs have two regions of fundamental functional importance: the anti-codon, which is responsible for specific mRNA codon recognition, and the 3' end, to which the tRNAs corresponding amino acid is attached (by aminoacyl-tRNA synthetases). tRNAs cope with the degeneracy of the genetic code in two manners: having more than one tRNA (with a specific anti-codon) for a particular amino acid; and 'wobble' base-pairing, i.e. permitting non-standard base-pairing at the 3rd anti-codon position.
Source: RNAcentral
GCUGGGGUAGCCAAGCUCGGUCCACGGCGGCGGUCUCGAAAACCGCUGGUGACAACACCUCAGGAGUUCAAAUCUCCUCCCCAGCG